Long non-coding RNA from Uranotaenia lowii, 436 nucleotides. RefSeq lists it as uncharacterized. The record is from RefSeq and is a predicted model, not a curated record. Lineage: Eukaryota; Metazoa; Arthropoda; Insecta; Diptera; Culicidae. The transcript has 3 exons.
CGGAGCAUUGCAGAAAAAGGGGUGGUGAUUUCGAUCAAUUUAUUGAAGUUUCUUAUAUUUACAUUAUACUUCUCAUCUAUAUCGAAACUAAAAGUCGAGAUCUUAAAGAUAGUUGGGAUCAGUUAAAAAGUGAGGUUACAGAAUCUUUAGCAUUAUCACGUCAAACGAUUGUGGUUUCGCUCGGGAGACCUCCGAAAAUACCCAACAGCCAAGUUUUCUCUGCGUGUAUAAGAUAAAAGAAAUCAACAACAAGAAACAGAUCUACAACACUGGCAACACUAGACGCACUAGACAGACAUAGCAGGAAAGGGGAUGAAUAACGUCCAGGCGUUAAAAUCCCAGGGAAAAAAAAAUAUCGUAGCGAUCGUAGCAUACUUUUCAAUCCUAAAAACGCUAGUAUCCGAACUGGAACAAUUGAUUUGCUCCCGAAAAUUAA